AGCAGCCGCGGUAAUUCCAGCUCCAAUAGCGUAUAUUAAAGUUGUUGCAGUUAAAAAGCUCGUAGUUGAAUUUCGGGGUCGGUAGGUUGGUCAUGCCUCAGGUAUGCACUGGUCUCACUGAUUCCUCCUUCCUGAUGAGCCGUAAUGCCAUUAAUUUGGUGUUGCGAGGAAUCUGGACUGUUACUUUGAAAAAAUUAAGUGUUUAAAGCAAGCUAACGCUUGAAUACAUUAGCAUGGAAUAAUGGAAUAGGACGUUCGAUCCUAUUUUGUUGGUUUCUAGGAUUGACGUAAUGAUUAAUAGGGAUAGUUGGGGGCAUUAGUAUUUAAUUGUCAGAGGUGAAAUUCUUGGAUUUAUUGAAGACUAACUACUGCGAAAGCAUUUGCCAAGGAUGUUUUCAUUAAUCAAGAACGAAAGUUAGGGGAUCGAAGACGAUCAGAUACCGUCGUAGUCUUAACCAUAAACUAUGCCGACUAGGGAUCGGAUGAUGUUAAUUUUUAAUGACUCAUUCGGCGCCUUAAC
Molecule: ribosomal RNA, 520 nt
Filed under: uncultured Glomus
Lineage: Eukaryota; Fungi; Glomeromycota; Glomeromycetes; Glomerales; Glomeraceae
Description: SSU rRNA
Rfam family: Eukaryotic small subunit ribosomal RNA
Source: RNAcentral